Mustela erminea (ermine) is the source of this 138-nucleotide long non-coding RNA. RefSeq lists it as uncharacterized. The transcript has 3 exons. Lineage: Eukaryota; Metazoa; Chordata; Mammalia; Carnivora; Mustelidae. The record is from RefSeq and is a predicted model, not a curated record.
CACCCAUCACCAACACUCCAGGGACCUCCACAGGGCACCUGGGAACCUCUGGGACUCCAUCUUUUUUUCUCAGCUCCAGCCCCAUGGCCUCUACCAUAUCCCCAGCAACCUCAGCGACCCCCAUCCCUACCCCCACAG